CCUACGGGAGGCAGCAGCAGGGAAUAUUGCACAAUGGGCGAAAGCCUGAUGCAGCGACACCGCGUGCGGGAUGAAGGCCUUCGGGUUGUAAACCGCUUUCAGGAGGGACGAAAAUGACGGUACCUCCAGAAGAAGGCCCGGCCAACUACGUGCCAGCAGCCGCGGUAAUACGUAGGGGCCAAACGUUGUCCGGAUUUAUUGGGCGUAAAGGGCUCGUAGGCGGUUCAGCAAGUCGGCCGUGAAAACCCGGGGCUCAACCCCGGGACGCCGGUCGAAACUGCUGUGACUAGGGUCCGGUAGAGGUGAGUGGAAUUCUCGGUGUAGCGGUGGAAUGCGCAGAUAUCGAGAGGAACACCAGUAGCGAAGGCGGCUCACUGGGCCGGUACCGACGCUGAGGAGCGAAAGCGUGGGGAGCAAACAGGAUUAGAUACCCUGGUAGUCCACGCCGUAAACGUUGAACACUAGGUGUGGCGGAUUUAUCAACGUCUGCCGCGCCGACGCUAACGCAUUAAGUGUUCCGCCUGGGGAGUACGGCCGCAAGGCUAAAACUCAAAGGAAUUGACGG
RNAcentral lists this ribosomal RNA (565 nucleotides) under uncultured Actinomycetes bacterium. Its description in RNAcentral is "bacterial SSU rRNA". It matches the Rfam family "Bacterial small subunit ribosomal RNA", at positions 338 to 916 of the family's 1533-position model. The record is from RNAcentral. Lineage: Bacteria; Bacillati; Actinomycetota; Actinomycetes.